UAUAUUUAAUCGUAGUUUCAGAAUCCUUCAUCAGGGUGAGUUUACAUCUAUAAAAAAAAAUUAUCUAAAAAAUUAUAGUACUUACUAAGAAAUAAAAAUCUUCAACAACACAAAUAUCUUUUUCAUUCAUUUGGCCCUAGUACACUUGCUAUCAAUAGCAAUCCAAUCUACCUCUAUAGUAUAGGAAACAAAUAACGUGACAAUUAUAACCACCAAACAUCAAUCAAGUGGAACAAUCUUACAAGCUUUUUAGUGGCG
This 258-nucleotide long non-coding RNA is filed under the name Lathyrus oleraceus (garden pea). Its description in RNAcentral is "Pisum sativum (pea) long non-coding RNA (PSAT_LNC016668)". The record is from RNAcentral. Lineage: Eukaryota; Viridiplantae; Streptophyta; Magnoliopsida; Fabales; Fabaceae.